Long non-coding RNA from Pteropus alecto (black flying fox), 347 nucleotides. RefSeq lists it as uncharacterized. The transcript has 2 exons. Lineage: Eukaryota; Metazoa; Chordata; Mammalia; Chiroptera; Pteropodidae. The record is from RefSeq and is a predicted model, not a curated record.
GCCAUGGGGGCUGUUCUUGGGACAGCCCACUGAAACCAGCCUCAGUCUCCAGGGUGGGACAGAAGCCACACUAGUCAAGUGUCCGGGUUCACGAGGUCAUCUUUGGCAAGUGUGUGGAGGAUUCAGGAGCCUGGGACUCAGGGUCCCGGCCUGCCCAGGGCAGAGAGACCAUUCUCGAGGCUGCUUGGAAACGCUCCCCUGCCCCUCUGGAAAGGUUUUCGCUCAGAUGUCACCUCUGCGAAGGAUCCGGACGUCACACCCCGCACCAUCCUCAUCCCCUUUCCUGGCCCCAGAUGGUUGUGUAGCACUUGCCACCUUCCACCAGACAAUACAGCUACUAAACGUAA